This 534-nucleotide long non-coding RNA is filed under the name Olea europaea subsp. europaea. The record is from RNAcentral. Lineage: Eukaryota; Viridiplantae; Streptophyta; Magnoliopsida; Lamiales; Oleaceae.
CUCGUGUCUUAUUGUCUAUUGUUAAAAUUUGCGCAUGUAAAAGUUUAGGUUGCCUCCUCCUUUCAUUUUUUUUUUAUUUGAUGCAAUUGGGAUCAAAUAAACUUCCCUGUGGAAUAAUUUAUGCGCGGUUUCAUACAGCACAAAAAAGAAGGUCUUUGUUCCCUCAAUCAAAAAGAUCAGAGUAAAAAUCUCAUAAGUAAUUGUGAGCUGACCUCUUUCAACAAUUAUACUCUGUCACCGACCUUAAUUCACAUUAAUUCCUGGCUAAUACUUGUGAUUACAACAUCAUUUUCAAUUGAAUAGAUAUACUGAUGAAAUGCUAAUGUGCCCAUCUUGUUUUUAUGGCUGACAUGUUAAUGGUUUUAUAAUUUGUUUCAUGAUUUCUAGUGCAGAAAAUGUUCCUGCUCAGUACCACGAAGGAUAUAUCAAACCUCGGUCAUGGGCAUAUAGUUCAUUGGAUCUGUACAAGGUAAUGAGUAUGUGGUUGACUAACUUCUUGUUUCUUUGAGCUCAUAAUCGCAUCUCAAGUAAUGU